Molecule: ribosomal RNA, 408 nt
Filed under: uncultured bacterium
Lineage: Bacteria
Description: partial 16S ribosomal RNA
Rfam family: Bacterial small subunit ribosomal RNA
Source: RNAcentral
GACGAACGCUGGCGGCGUGCCUAAUACAUGCAAGUAGAACGCAGUUUCGAACGGGUGAGUAACACGUAGGUAACCUUCCUCAUUGCGGGGGAUAACUAUUGGAAACGAUAGCUAAUACCCCAUACUUUUACAUGGACCUGCGUUGGAUUAGCUAGUUGGUGCGGUACAGGCUCACCAAGGCGACGAUACAUAGCCGACCUGAGAGGGUGAUAAGCCACACUGGAACGGAGACACGGUCCAGACUCCUACGGGAGGCAGCAGUGGGGAAGUUUGGACAAUGGGGGAAACCCUGAUCCAGCCAUGCCGCGUGUGCGAUGAAGGCCUUCGGGUUGUAAAGCACUUUUGGCAGGAAAGCGGUACCUGCAGAAUAAGCACCGGCUAACUACGUGCCAGCAGCCGCGGUAAUUC